Molecule: ribosomal RNA, 253 nt
Filed under: uncultured bacterium
Lineage: Bacteria
Description: partial 16S ribosomal RNA
Rfam family: Bacterial small subunit ribosomal RNA
Source: RNAcentral
UACAUGGGGUGCAAACGUUGCUCGGAAUCAUUGGGCGUAAAGCGCGCGUAGGCGGUUACACAAGUUGGAUGUGAAAGCCCUCGGCUUAACUGAGGAAGUGCAUCCAAAACUGUGCAGCUAGAGUACUAAAGAGGGUCGCGGAAUUCCCGGUGUAGAGGUGAAAUUCGUAGAUAUCGGGAGGAACACCGGUGGCGAAGGCGGCGACCUGGGUAGAUACUGACGCUGAGGCGCGAAAGCGUGGGGAGCAAACAGG